This 303-nucleotide ribosomal RNA is filed under the name Rhinusa neta. RNAcentral describes it as "partial 16S ribosomal RNA". Lineage: Eukaryota; Metazoa; Arthropoda; Insecta; Coleoptera; Curculionidae. The record is from RNAcentral.
AAGGUAGCAUAAUCAUUAGUUUUUUAAUUGAAAGCUUGAAUGAAGGGUUGGAUGAAAAAAUAGCUGUCUCUAUCUAAAUUUAUUAGAAUUUUAUUUUUAAGUAAAAAAGCUUAAAUGAAUAUUGAAGACGAGAAGACCCUAUAGAGUUUUAUAUUUUUAAUUAUUAAAUAUUUUAGUAUUGUAAAAGUUAAUAAUUAAAUUUAUUUAGUUGGGGUGAUUGGAAAAUUUAAUUAACUUUUUCUUUAUUUAAACAUUGAUUUGUGAAUAAUUGAUCCUUAUAUGAAGAUUAUAAGACAAAAUUAC